CCAGCAGCUGGGCGAGCAGGUACCGCCCCUGCAGCGCGAAGGGUGCCCGGGGCGGGAUCUCGCGGCGCGGCCGUGGGCACCCGGACCUCCCGUCCUCCAGAGGGCGCUGCCCUGCCCCGGUCCGCAGACUGGCCUUCGGAGCGGACAGGCCGUGGCGGAGCCGCGGGGACCCCGGGAGCUGCGGGGACCCCGGGAGCCACGAUCCGGAGCGCGCGGCCCGCCCCACCCCUGGUGGGGGUUACGCGACUGCGGAGGGGGUGCGGGGAGGAGGCUGUGUGGUUCCCGCGGCCAAAGCCGCGCUGGGAGGCGAAGUGCGCGGGCCGAGCGCGGCUCGGGCGACGGCGGAAGCCUUAGGGGCCACUUGAAUGGAGGCCGAGGGCUUCGUUGGCAGCCGCCAUGUUCAACCAGCAGCAGCAGCAGCAGCUCCAGCAGCUCCAGCAGCAGCAGUUGCUGCAGCUCCAGCAGCUGCUCCAGCAGUCCCCACCGCAGGCCGCACUGCCCAUGGCCGUCAGCAGGGGGCUCCCCCAGCAGCAGCCACAGCAGCAGCUCCUGAAUCUCCAGGGCACCAACUCAGCCUCCCUCCUCAACGGCUCUGUGCUGCAGAGAGCUUUGCUUCUGCAGCAGUUGCAAGGUAUGACUGCGGGCCCUGUCUCGCUCCAUCUUAGCGGGAGCUCCCCAGCAGCCCCAUGGCACUGAAUCUCAUCAAAUCCACACAGUAACCCUGAGGGGGAUCUGUGUCAGCGUCCUGGUUUACAGAUGAGGACACUGAGGCUCCAGGAGGUGGAAGUCCCUAAGUUGCUCAGCUGAAUGCAGGUCUGUCUGAUCCCAGAGGUGUACCCUUGGCCAUGGUGUUAGCUCUGUGGGUGCUACUCAGCACAGUUUGCUGACAUUCAGAUUAGAUGACAUGAUGGAGGGCAAGAUCUAUUUUGACCACCCUCCUUUGCAUCCUGUUUGACAGAUGAGGAUGCCGAGGUCCAGAGAAGGGAGUCAUUUGCCCUGGGUCACAUAGCAUCAGCAGUGUCUAGCUAGACAGAGGCCUGGGCCUCCUGACCCCCUGGGUCUCUGAGGGGGAUGUCUCUAGCCCUCUGCAUUAAGCCUGUGUCCUUACCUGAGUUUCCCCAUGGGGAGAGCAGUCUUUCAUCUCUUCCUUACAAGAAGCUGCUCCCGAUACCUUAGCCCCUGCAGGAGUAAUCCAGGGGUCCAGAGACGUGGGGCCAGCUCAUCUUCAGACCCAGCCUCUCUCACACGGUAGCUGUGGCUUGCUGGCUGGUUCCUCAGGGCUGGGCAUUGUGCUGAGGCCCUGACAAACCCAAUUCCUUGACUCUGCUGACAACCCUAAGGGGAGAUACACUCGUGAUCCCAUUUUACAGAUGAAGAAACUGAGGCCCAGGUGUUGAUUAGUGGUCUUACUACAGAGCUGUGUUCUGAGACACCAGGCUAUCCUGCCUCCCAGCAGGGUAUGCAGUCAGGUCAGAAGAUGUGAUGGUCAUCACUCUUCAGCCCUCCUGGGGCCACAUGGGUGUGGAUGGUCCUGAGAGCUGGCUUAUAAAUGAUAGAUGGAUGGGUAGAGAGAUAAAACCACACACAGGGACCCACAAUGUAUAUAUAUAUUUUUUCACUUUUUCUUACUCAUUUUAAAAGUCAUACUCUUCAAAGAAGAGUGAAAGAAAUAUUUUAAAAAGAGUAUAAGAAAACCCAAAUGGUCAUAUGCAGAUUCACUCCUAAAGAAAAAACCACCCUUUAAAGUGUUGGUGUAUUUCUCCCCUUUUUUUUCUAGGCACAAACUUGGGGACUUGUAUAUGAUUGUGGUUAUUGAUAUAAGUGAAAGGCUGUAUCUUGUUUCUUUUUCACUGAAUAUAGUGGCAUGAUCAUUUACCAAAUUAUUUGAAAGUCUCUGUAAAGAUUGUUUUUGAACAGCUGUUUAAUAUUCUGCUGGAGGUGUGUGCCCUUGUGUCCCUAAACUUUCUCAGCUGUUUUCUUCUACUUCUUUUCUUUUCAUUUUUUUCUUUUUUUUUGCUUUAAAUAAUGGAAUGAAUAUCAUGUUUGAGAAUAUUCUCUUAGAAUGGAUUCCCAAAAGUAGAAUGACUGGGUCAGGGGGGAUGGAUAUUUUAUGGCUCUUGAUAAGUAUUGCCAAAUUGCUUUCCCAAAGGACUGGACCAGUUUGCAAUGCCACCAGCCACGUAUGACAGUGCCGGUCUCACCAUGCCCACGGCAACAUUGGGUAUUAUACUCUUUACAUAUAUAUAUGUAUAUAUACAUCUAAUCUACUAAUUUGCUUGGCAAAAGCUAUAUCAUUAAUGUUUUAGUUUACAUUUCUUGGAGUGCUAGUGCGGAUGAAUAUUUUAUAUUUGUCUGUUAAACAUUUGUAAUUCUUUUUGUGACUUGUCCAUGUGCUUUGUCUAUUUUUCUUUUAGAGUGUGCCACCUUUUAUCUUACUGUUUUUAAGAGCUGGUUAGCGUUCUCUCU
This is a long non-coding RNA of Physeter macrocephalus (sperm whale), 2466 nucleotides long. NCBI's taxonomy places the organism in Eukaryota, Metazoa, Chordata, Mammalia, Artiodactyla, Physeteridae. The record is from Ensembl.